Non-coding RNA from Schistosoma mattheei, 45 nucleotides. NCBI's taxonomy places the organism in Eukaryota, Metazoa, Platyhelminthes, Trematoda, Strigeidida, Schistosomatidae. The record is from Rfam.
AUCUAGCUGACAAGUCCCAAAUAAGACGAACCGCGCUUUCUGGAU